RNAcentral lists this ribosomal RNA (253 nucleotides) under uncultured bacterium. Its description in RNAcentral is "partial 16S ribosomal RNA". It matches the Rfam family "Bacterial small subunit ribosomal RNA", at positions 524 to 776 of the family's 1533-position model. The record is from RNAcentral.
UACGGAGGGGACUAGCGUUGUUCGGAAUUACUGGGCGUAAAGCGCACGUAGGCGGAUUUGUAAGUCAGGGGUGAAAUCCCGGGGCUCAACCUCGGAACUGCCUUUGAUACUGCAAAUCUCGAGUCCGGAAGAGGUGAGUGGAAUUCCUAGUGUAGAGGUGAAAUUCGUAGAUAUUAGGAAGAACACCAGUGGCGAAGGCGGCUCACUGGUCCGGUACUGACGCUGAGGUGCGAGAGCGUGGGGAGCGAACCGG